GCCGGGUGUGGUGGUGCACACUUGUGGUCACAACUACUCGGGAGGCUGAGGCGGGAGGAUUGCUUGAGCUCAGGAGUUCUGGGCCGUAGUGAGCUAUGCUGAUCCGGUGUCCACAGUAAUAUGAUAACCUCUGUGGACUGGAAGGACCACCCAGUUGCCUAAGGAGGACUGAACCUGCCCAAGUCAGAAACAGCUGGUCAAAGCUCUCAUGCUGAUCUGUCCUAGGGUCACACCUGUGAACAGCCACUGCACCCCCAGCCUGGGCAACACAGAGAAACCUUGUCUCU
This 287-nucleotide signal recognition particle RNA is filed under the name Piliocolobus tephrosceles (Ugandan red Colobus). Its description in RNAcentral is "Metazoan signal recognition particle RNA (ENSPTEG00000005746.1)". It matches the Rfam family "Metazoan signal recognition particle RNA". From Rfam's summary of the family: The signal recognition particle (SRP) is a universally conserved ribonucleoprotein. It is involved in the co-translational targeting of proteins to membranes. The record is from RNAcentral. Lineage: Eukaryota; Metazoa; Chordata; Mammalia; Primates; Cercopithecidae.